RNAcentral lists this unclassified non-coding RNA (365 nucleotides) under Hevea brasiliensis (rubber tree). Lineage: Eukaryota; Viridiplantae; Streptophyta; Magnoliopsida; Malpighiales; Euphorbiaceae. The record is from RNAcentral.
GUAUAAGCAAAAAGAAAUAAAAAGAAAUAUAAAAAAAGAGGAAAUGUGGAAUGAAAAUAAUGAUGUUGAGUAAUGUAAAGCUGGGAAAUUGGAAUAGGUAUGGGAAAGAAGGAUAAAUACAUUAAAGUAGGGAAUUUGUGUGUGUAUAGGUAACUCUAAAAUUGGAACCAAUGUUCAAGCGAUCUAUCACUUAUUUGAAAAGGGAUGAUAAGGAUUUGGGGGAAGAAGUGGUGAGGUUUGGGAGAAGUUAUGAAUUUGGAGACAUGACUUGGUAUCCAAGCCAACGUAAAGUUGUGUAUCGUAAGGAUACCCGCGUUUCCUCCAAUACCUCCGGCAAUGGCCUCUAUGACUUUAUCCCAUUUCGC